RNAcentral lists this ribosomal RNA (465 nucleotides) under uncultured Klebsiella sp. RNAcentral's name for it is "bacterial SSU rRNA". It matches the Rfam family "Bacterial small subunit ribosomal RNA", at positions 338 to 795 of the family's 1533-position model. Lineage: Bacteria; Pseudomonadati; Pseudomonadota; Gammaproteobacteria; Enterobacterales; Enterobacteriaceae. The record is from RNAcentral.
CCUACGGGUGGCAGCAGUGGGGAAUAUUGCACAAUGGGCGCAAGCCUGAUGCAGCCAUGCCGCGUGUGUGAAGAAGGCCUUCGGGUUGUAAAGCACUUUCAGCGGGGAGGAAGGCGUUAAGGUUAGUAACCUUGGCGAUUGACGUUACCCGCAGAAGAAGCACCGGCUAACUCCGUGCCAGCAGCCGCGGUAAUACGGAGGGUGCAAGCGUUAAUCGGAAUUACUGGGCGUAAAGCGCACGCAGGCGGUCUGUCAAGUCGGAUGUGAAAUCCCCGGGCUCAACCUGGGAACUGCAUUCGAAACUGGCAGGCUAGAGUCUUGUAGAGGGGGGUAGAAUUCCAGGUGUAGCGGUGAAAUGCGUAGAGAUCUGGAGGAAUACCGGUGGCGAAGGCGGCCCCCUGGACAAAGACUGACGCUCAGGUGCGAAAGCGUGGGGAGCAAACAGGAUUAGAUACCCGGGUAGUC